RNAcentral lists this transfer RNA (73 nucleotides) under Actinoplanes italicus. It matches the Rfam family "tRNA". From Rfam's summary of the family: Transfer RNA (tRNA) molecules are approximately 80 nucleotides in length. Their secondary structure includes four short double-helical elements and three loops (D, anti-codon, and T loops). The record is from Rfam by way of RNAcentral. Lineage: Bacteria; Bacillati; Actinomycetota; Actinomycetes; Micromonosporales; Micromonosporaceae.
GUCGACGUAGCUCAGUAGGUAGAGCAACCGCCUGUCACGCGGUAGGCCGCGAGUUCAAGUCUCGUCGUCGACG